Molecule: ribosomal RNA, 478 nt
Filed under: uncultured bacterium
Lineage: Bacteria
Description: partial 16S ribosomal RNA
Rfam family: Bacterial small subunit ribosomal RNA
Source: RNAcentral
GACGAACGCUGGCGGCGUGCUUAACACAUGCAAGUCGAACGGUAAGGCCCUUCGGGGUACACGAGUGGCGAACGGGUGAGUAACACGUGGGUGAUCUGCCCUGCACUUCGGGAUAAGCCUGGGAAACUGGGUCUAAUACCGGAUAGGACCACUGCCUGCAUGGGUGGUGGUGGAAAGCUUUUGCGGUGUGGGAUGGGCCCGCGGCCUAUCAGCUUGUUGGUGGGGUGAUGGCCUACCAAGGCGACGACGGGUAGCCGGCCUGAGAGGGUGACCGGCCACACUGGGACUGGGAUACGGCCCAGACUCCUACGGGAGGCAGCAGUGGGGAAUAUUGCACAAUGGGCGCAAGCCUGAUGCAGCGACGCCGCGUGAGGGAUGACGGCCUUCGGGUUGUAAACCUCUUUCAGCACCGACGAAGCGCAAGUGACGGUAGGUGUAGAAGAAGGACCGGCCAGCUACGUGCCAGCAGCCGCAGUAA